CCCAACUCAGGGAAAGGCCCAAUCGCCCCAAAAGACUAGUCCAGUGGGGGAAGGGUGGCUCUCCUUUUAAAGUGGCUUCCUCCUCCCAAGUUAAGCGAGGUGGAAUAAUUCUGAGGCUCACACGGUCGUCGUCCGACUACAAUUGGGCCAACUGGGCCAAUUGCGUCUUUGCCAACGGGUAAUAGUGGAGGAUGUCCUCAUCAUUCCCACCUUCUUAAAAUGGGCCCUACCUUUGAUACCAGAUGAUACACCCAGCCCAGGUGGGGUUGGCCGAGGCCCAACAAAUUAGGGUUGCCCGGAGCCCAACAGUUCAUUAAGCACACCCAACUCAGGGAAAGGCCCAAUCGCCCCAAAAGACUAGUCCAAUGGGGGAAGGGUGGCUCUCCCUUUUAAAGUGGCUUCCUCCUCCCAAGUUAAGUGAGGUGGGAUAAUUCUGAGGCUCACACGGUCGUCGUCCGACUACAAUUGGGCCAACUGGGCCAAUUGCGUCUUUGCCAACGGGUAAUAGUGGAGGAUGUCCUCAUCAUC
RNAcentral lists this long non-coding RNA (528 nucleotides) under Zea mays. Its description in RNAcentral is "long non-coding RNA (ZMAY_LNC000991)". The record is from RNAcentral. Lineage: Eukaryota; Viridiplantae; Streptophyta; Magnoliopsida; Poales; Poaceae.